AGAAUGUGUACAGUGGGAGCAAUCACUUUUCCUAUAUAACUCUAGUAUGGCUUCACGUAUAAUCAUGAACUAUUUACAUACAUUAUAUCUGUGCAGGAACAACCAUAUUUAACACAGUCCUUCAGUGAAAAGAUUCUUGUCAGUCUUCUUGGGGGGAAGAUUGUUAUCUACAAAGCAAGCAUUCUGUCUGAAUAUAAGAAAAAGGCACCUGGAAAAGAAAGGACUUUUAAUUUUUCGUUAAAGAGUAUACAAGAAACGUGGAGCAGAUAUCUUGAAUUUAAGUGAAAGCAUCUCCAAGCACUGUCUGAGGGAAUUACUUAGUGCUCACUCCUUGGACCAAGCGCUUCACGCCGAAUUACUAGCAUCACUCCAAACUUCUCUGUGUGGUGGUUUGCCAUCUGAGGUUGGUUGGGUUAGUCAUUC
Molecule: long non-coding RNA, 423 nt
Filed under: Calidris pygmaea (Spoon-billed sandpiper)
Lineage: Eukaryota; Metazoa; Chordata; Aves; Charadriiformes; Scolopacidae
Description: lncRNA (ENSCPGG00000000856.1)
Source: RNAcentral